GUGUCAGCAGCCGCGGUAAGACGAACCGUGCGAACGUUGUUCGGAUUCACUGGGCUUAAAGGGCGCGUAGGCGGGUCGGUCCGUCUGGGGUGAAAUCCUCUCGCUUAACGAGAGAACGGCCCUGGAUACCACCGAUCUCGAGGGAGGUAGGGGCAUGUGGAACUUCCGGUGGAGCGGUGAAAUGCGUAGAUAUCGGAAGGAACGCCGGUGGCGAAAGCGACGUGCUGGACCUUUUCUGACGCUGAGGCGCGAAAGCCAGGGGAGCAAACGGGAUUAGAUACCCCCGUAGUCC
This 292-nucleotide ribosomal RNA is filed under the name uncultured bacterium. RNAcentral describes it as "partial 16S ribosomal RNA". It matches the Rfam family "Bacterial small subunit ribosomal RNA", at positions 505 to 796 of the family's 1533-position model. The record is from RNAcentral.